UACUAUAAGGCACCUGUUAUUGCGAAGUAUUACCAGUCACAUGCUCCUUCAAAGCACUACUACAAGGCACCUAUUGUUACGAAGUAUUACAAGUCACACGCUCCUUCAAAGCACUACUACAAGGCACCUGUUGUUACGAAGUAUUACAAGUCACCUGCUCCUUCGAAACACUACUACAAGGCUCCAGUGGUAGUGAAGUAUUACAAGUCACCAGCUCCUUCAAAGAAUUACUACAAGGCACCUGUCCCUUCAAAGGAGUACUACAAGUCGCCAGCUCCUUCAAAGUACUACUACAAGUCGCCAUCACCUGCAAAGUACUACAAGUCGCCUGCUCCAUCAAAGCACUAUUACUACAAGUCCCCAUCCCCUUCAAAAUAUUACAACUCACCCGCUCCUUCCAAAUACUAUAAAUCACCUGCACCACAAAAAUAUUACAAGUCACCAGUUUACUACAAGUCUCCUCCCCCACCACCAACUUAUUAUGAGAAAUCAC
This 493-nucleotide long non-coding RNA is filed under the name Solanum tuberosum (potato). Its description in RNAcentral is "long non-coding RNA (STUB_LNC001201)". The record is from RNAcentral. Lineage: Eukaryota; Viridiplantae; Streptophyta; Magnoliopsida; Solanales; Solanaceae.